GUCGUAACAAGGUUUCCGUAGGUGAACCUGCGGAAGGAUCAUUACAGAGAAUGUGCCCUUCUGGGUAUACCUCCCACCCUUUGCUUAUAAUACUCUUGUUGCUUUGGUGGACCUGUCUCUUGACUGCCGGCUCUGGCUGGUUAGUGCCCACCAGAGGACCCAAACACCCUCUUAAUUAUGUCGUCAGAUUAUUAUACAAAUAGUUAAAACUUUCAACAACGGAUCUCUUGGUUCUGGCAUCGAUGAAGAACGCAGCGAAAUGCGAUAAGUAAUGUGAAUUGCAGAAUUCAGUGAAUCAUCGAAUCUUUGAACGCAUAUUGCACCCUCUGGUAUUCCGGGGGGUAUGCCUGUUCGAGCGUCAUUACAACCCUCAAGCACUGCUUGGUAUUGGAUGCUACUCGUGUAGUGCAUCACAAAAGUAUUGGCAGCAGCGUGUAGCUUCUAGUGUAGUAUUCUGUCGCUAAGGAGUAUAGAUGUCUGCUUGCCCUAAACCUACAUUUAUUCAAAGGUUGACCUCGGAUCAGGUAGGGAUACCCGCUGAACUUAAGCAUAUCAAUAAGCGGAGGAAAAGAAACCAACAGGGAUUGCCUCAGUAACGGCGAGUGAAGCGGCAACAGCUCAAAUUUGAAAUCUGGCCUUGCGGUCCGAAUUGUAAUUUGUAGAGGAUGUUUCGAGCAAGGUCUGGUCUAAGUUCCUUGGAACAGGACGUCAUAGAGGGUGAGAAUCCCGUAUGUGACUGGGUGCCUAAGCUCAUGUGAAGCUCCCUCAACGAGUCGAGUUGUUUGGGAAUGCAGCUCAAAAUGGGUGGUAAAUUUCAUCUAAAGCUAAAUACUGGCCAGAGACCGAUAGCGCACAAGUAGAGUGAUCGAAAGAUGAAAAGCACUUUGGAAAGAGAGUUAAACAGUACGUGAAAUUGUUGAAAGGGAAGCGCUUGCAACCAGACUUGCAUGCAGUUGAUCAUCUGGUGUUUUCACUAGUGCAACUCAGUUGUAUUCAGGCCAGCAUCGGUCUUGAUGGUUGGAUAAAGGCCCUGGGAAUGUAGCUUCUCUUGGGGAGUGUUAUAGCCCAAGGUGCAAUGCAGCCUAUUAGGACCGAGGACCGCGCUUCGGCUAGGAUGCUGGCGUAAUGGUUGUAAGCGACC
This 1141-nucleotide ribosomal RNA is filed under the name uncultured fungus. RNAcentral's name for it is "eukaryotic LSU rRNA". The stretch from base 511 to 1141 matches the Rfam family "Eukaryotic large subunit ribosomal RNA", at positions 1 to 649 of the family's 3401-position model. The record is from RNAcentral. Lineage: Eukaryota; Fungi.